Molecule: ribosomal RNA, 499 nt
Filed under: uncultured bacterium
Lineage: Bacteria
Description: partial 16S ribosomal RNA
Rfam family: Bacterial small subunit ribosomal RNA
Source: RNAcentral
AUUGAACGCUGGCGGCAGGCCUAACACAUGCAAGUCGAGCGGAUGAUGAGAGCUUGCUCUCUGAUUCAGCGGCGGACGGGUGAGUAAUGCCUAGGAAUCUGCCUGGUAGUGGGGGACAACGUUUCGAGAGGAACGCUAAUACCGCAUACGUCCUACGGGAGAAAGUGGGGGAUCUUCGGACCUCACGCUAUCAGAUGAGCCUAGGUACGAUUAGCUAGUUGGUGAGGUAAAGGCUCACCAAGGCGACGAUCGUUAACUGGUCUGAGAGGAUGGUCAGUCACACUGGAACUGAGACACGGUCCAGACUCCUACGGUAGGCAGCAGUGGGAAUAUUGGACAAUGGGCGAAAGCCUGAUCCAGCCAUGCCGCGUGUGUGAAGAGGGUCUUCGGAUUGUAAAGCACUUUAAGUUGGGAGGAAGGGCAGUAAGUUAAUACCUUGCUGUUUUGACGUUACCGACAGAAUAAGCACCGGCUAACUUCGUGCCAGCCGCCGCAGUAA